ACGAGCGAGUGAUCGUAAGCAAAUCUCAAAAAUAACGUCUCAGUUCGGAUUGUAGUCUGCAACUCGACUACAUGAAGCUGGAAUCGCUAGUAAUCGCGAAUCAGCAUGUCGCGGUGAAUACGUUCCCGGGUCUUGUACACACCGCCCGUCACACCAUGGGAGUUGGUAACGCCCGAAGCCAGUGACCCAACCUUAAGAGGAGGGAGCUGUCGAAGGUGGGACCGAUAACUGGGGUGAAGUCGUAACAAGGUAGC
Molecule: ribosomal RNA, 254 nt
Filed under: uncultured bacterium
Lineage: Bacteria
Description: partial 16S ribosomal RNA
Rfam family: Bacterial small subunit ribosomal RNA
Source: RNAcentral